This 454-nucleotide ribosomal RNA is filed under the name uncultured bacterium. RNAcentral's name for it is "bacterial SSU rRNA". It matches the Rfam family "Bacterial small subunit ribosomal RNA", at positions 64 to 507 of the family's 1533-position model. The record is from RNAcentral.
GGACGGUAGCACAGAGGAGCUUGCUCCUCGGGUGACGAGUGGCGGACGGGUGAGUAAUGUCUGGGGAUCUGCCCGAUAGAGGGGGAUAACCACUGGAAACGGUGGCUAAUACCGCAUAACGUCGCAAGACCAAAGAGGGGGACCUUCGGGCCUCUCACUAUCGGAUGAACCCAGAUGGGAUUAGCUAGUAGGCGGGGUAAUGGCCCACCUAGGCGACGAUCCCUAGCUGGUCUGAGAGGAUGACCAGCCACACUGGAACUGAGACACGGUCCAGACUCCUACGGGAGGCAGCAGUGGGGAAUAUUGCACAAUGGGCGCAAGCCUGAUGCAGCCAUGCCGCGUGUAUGAAGAAGGCCUUCGGGUUGUAAAGUACUUUCAGCGGGGAGGAAGGUGGUGCGGUUAAUAACCGCGCCGAUUGACGUUACCCGCAGAAGAAGCACCGGCUAACUCCGUG